GAUGAAGAACGCAGCGAAAUGCGAUAAGUAAUGUGAAUUGCAGAAUUCAGUGAAUCAUCGAAUCUUUGAACGCACCUUGCACCCUUUGGCAUUCCGAAGGGUAUGCUCGUUUGAGUGUCAUUGUACUCUCACACUCUCCGAUCCUAUGGAUUCGGGGAGCGGUGGACUUGGGUGUUGCUGCCUUUCCUUGUGGCUCACCUCAGAUGCGUCAGUGCACCUCUUGGUUGGACAUAGUACGGCGUGAUAAGUGUCUUCGCCGGCACCUCGCAAGAGGGUGGCCGAUCGGGAGCUCUGCGCUUUCAAACCGUCUUCGGACAAUUUCUGACAACUUGACCUCAAAUCGAGUAGGACUACCCGCUGAACUUAAGCAUAUCAAUAAGCGGAGGA
This 387-nucleotide unclassified non-coding RNA is filed under the name soil metagenome. Its description in RNAcentral is "partial contains 5.8S ribosomal RNA, internal transcribed spacer 2, and large subunit ribosomal RNA". The stretch from base 1 to 120 matches the Rfam family "5.8S ribosomal RNA", at positions 35 to 154 of the family's 154-position model. The record is from RNAcentral.